Molecule: ribosomal RNA, 253 nt
Filed under: uncultured bacterium
Lineage: Bacteria
Description: partial 16S ribosomal RNA
Rfam family: Bacterial small subunit ribosomal RNA
Source: RNAcentral
UACGUAGGCAGCAAGCGUUGUUCGGAAUUACUGGGCGUAAAGAGUGUGUAGGUGGUGUCGUAAGUUCGGUGUGAAAUCUCCCGGCUUAACUGGGAGGGUGCGCCGAAGACUGCGAUGCUGGAGUAUGGGAGAGGAAAGCGGAAUUCCUGGUGUAGCGGUGAAAUGCGUAGAUAUCAGGAGGAACACCUGCGGUGUAGACGGCUUUCUGGACCAUUACUGACACUGAGACACGAAAGCGUGGGUAGCAAACAGG